This 2919-nucleotide ribosomal RNA is filed under the name Staphylococcus aureus. Its description in RNAcentral is "23S ribosomal RNA". It matches the Rfam family "Bacterial large subunit ribosomal RNA". The record is from RNAcentral. Lineage: Bacteria; Bacillati; Bacillota; Bacilli; Caryophanales; Staphylococcaceae.
UUAAGUUAUUAAGGGCGCACGGUGGAUGCCUUGGCACUAGAAGCCGAUGAAGGACGUUACUAACGACGAUAUGCUUUGGGGAGCUGUAAGUAAGCUUUGAUCCAGAGAUUUCCGAAUGGGGAAACCCAGCAUGAGUUAUGUCAUGUUAUCGAUAUGUGAAUACAUAGCAUAUCAGAAGGCACACCCGGAGAACUGAAACAUCUUAGUACCCGGAGGAAGAGAAAGAAAAUUCGAUUCCCUUAGUAGCGGCGAGCGAAACGGGAAGAGCCCAAACCAACAAGCUUGCUUGUUGGGGUUGUAGGACACUCUAUACGGAGUUACAAAGGACGACAUUAGACGAAUCAUCUGGAAAGAUGAAUCAAAGAAGGUAAUAAUCCUGUAGUCGAAAAUGUUGUCUCUCUUGAGUGGAUCCUGAGUACGACGGAGCACGUGAAAUUCCGUCGGAAUCUGGGAGGACCAUCUCCUAAGGCUAAAUACUCUCUAGUGACCGAUAGUGAACCAGUACCGUGAGGGAAAGGUGAAAAGCACCCCGGAAGGGGAGUGAAAUAGAACCUGAAACCGUGUGCUUACAAGUAGUCAGAGCCCGUUAAUGGGUGAUGGCGUGCCUUUUGUAGAAUGAACCGGCGAGUUACGAUUUGAUGCAAGGUUAAGCAGUAAAUGUGGAGCCGUAGCGAAAGCGAGUCUGAAUAGGGCGUUUAGUAUUUGGUCGUAGACCCGAAACCAGGUGAUCUACCCUUGGUCAGGUUGAAGUUCAGGUAACACUGAAUGGAGGACCGAACCGACUUACGUUGAAAAGUGAGCGGAUGAACUGAGGGUAGCGGAGAAAUUCCAAUCGAACCUGGAGAUAGCUGGUUCUCUCCGAAAUAGCUUUAGGGCUAGCCUCAAGUGAUGAUUAUUGGAGGUAGAGCACUGUUUGGACGAGGGGCCCCUCUCGGGUUACCGAAUUCAGACAAACUCCGAAUGCCAAUUAAUUUAACUUGGGAGUCAGAACAUGGGUGAUAAGGUCCGUGUUCGAAAGGGAAACAGCCCAGACCACCAGCUAAGGUCCCAAAAUAUAUGUUAAGUGGAAAAGGAUGUGGCGUUGCCCAGACAACUAGGAUGUUGGCUUAGAAGCAGCCAUCAUUUAAAGAGUGCGUAAUAGCUCACUAGUCGAGUGACACUGCGCCGAAAAUGUACCGGGGCUAAACAUAUUACCGAAGCUGUGGAUUGUCCUUUGGACAAUGGUAGGAGAGCGUUCUAAGGGCGUUGAAGCAUGAUCGUAAGGACAUGUGGAGCGCUUAGAAGUGAGAAUGCCGGUGUGAGUAGCGAAAGACGGGUGAGAAUCCCGUCCACCGAUUGACUAAGGUUUCCAGAGGAAGGCUCGUCCGCUCUGGGUUAGUCGGGUCCUAAGCUGAGGCCGACAGGCGUAGGCGAUGGAUAACAGGUUGAUAUUCCUGUACCACCUAUAAUCGUUUUAAUCGAUGGGGGGACGCAGUAGGAUAGGCGAAGCGUGCGAUUGGAUUGCACGUCUAAGCAGUAAGGCUGAGUAUUAGGCAAAUCCGGUACUCGUUAAGGCUGAGCUGUGAUGGGGAGAAGACAUUGAGUCUUCGAGUCGUUGAUUUCACACUGCCGAGAAAAGCCUCUAGAUAGAAAAUAGGUGCCCGUACCGCAAACCGACACAGGUAGUCAAGAUGAGAAUUCUAAGGUGAGCGAGCGAACUCUCGUUAAGGAACUCGGCAAAAUGACCCCGUAACUUCGGGAGAAGGGGUGCUCUUUAGGGUUAACGCCCAGAAGAGCCGCAGUGAAUAGGCCCAAGCGACUGUUUAUCAAAAACACAGGUCUCUGCUAAACCGUAAGGUGAUGUAUAGGGGCUGACGCCUGCCCGGUGCUGGAAGGUUAAGAGGAGUGGUUAGCUUCUGCGAAGCUACGAAUCGAAGCCCCAGUAAACGGCGGCCGUAACUAUAACGGUCCUAAGGUAGCGAAAUUCCUUGUCGGGUAAGUUCCGACCCGCACGAAAGGCGUAACGAUUUGGGCACUGUCUCAACGAGAGACUCGGUGAAAUCAUAGUACCUGUGAAGAUGCAGGUUACCCGCGACAGGACGGAAAGACCCCGUGGAGCUUUACUGUAGCCUGAUAUUGAAAUUCGGCACAGCUUGUACAGGAUAGGUAGGAGCCUUUGAAACGUGAGCGCUAGCUUACGUGGAGGCGCUGGUGGGAUACUACCCUAGCUGUGUUGGCUUUCUAACCCGCACCACUUAUCGUGGUGGGAGACAGUGUCAAGCGGGCAGUUUGACUGGGGCGGUCGCCUCCUAAAAGGUAACGGAGGCGCUCAAAGGUUCCCUCAGAAUGGUUGGAAAUCAUUCAUAGAGUGUAAAGGCAUAAGGGAGCUUGACUGCGAGACCUACAAGUCGAGCAGGGUCGAAAGACGGACUUAGUGAUCCGGUGGUUCCGCAUGGAAGGGCCAUCGCUCAACGGAUAAAAGCUACCCCGGGGAUAACAGGCUUAUCUCCCCCAAGAGUUCACAUCGACGGGGAGGUUUGGCACCUCGAUGUCGGCUCAUCGCAUCCUGGGGCUGUAGUCGGUCCCAAGGGUUGGGCUGUUCGCCCAUUAAAGCGGUACGCGAGCUGGGUUCAGAACGUCGUGAGACAGUUCGGUCCCUAUCCGUCGUGGGCGUAGGAAAUUUGAGAGGAGCUGUCCUUAGUACGAGAGGACCGGGAUGGACAUACCUCUGGUGUACCAGUUGUCGUGCCAACGGCAUAGCUGGGUAGCUAUGUGUGGACGGGAUAAGUGCUGAAAGCAUCUAAGCAUGAAGCCCCCCUCAAGAUGAGAUUUCCCAACUUCGGUUAUAAGAUCCCUCAAAGAUGAUGAGGUUAAUAGGUUCGAGGUGGAAGCAUGGUGACAUGUGGAGCUGACGAAUACUAAUCGAUCGAAGACUUAAUC